GGCAAGUCUACAAGUAUUCAUAUAUGCAUAGUGCUGAACCUUUCUGAUUAAUUCGCCAUGCUUGUGGUGGUGGAGAUCAUUUCUUUUGUUUUGUUUUGUCUAGUAAAACUGAAAUAUGGUAAACUACAAUAUUCCCCCCAAUCAAUGGUCACUGUACAACUUCGAGUAUAUUCCCACAAAAAGAAACUAAUAGCACCCAUAUAUGGUGGAAUGAUAUAAUUAUUGUAAAAUUCUGUAAAUUUUAAGCCCAUAAAAGAAGUUUGUUUUAGUUUUUUUUUUCUUUUUAAGUUUUGCCUGAUUCUUUGCUUGAUUUUGUUGCUAGCAAAGAUGUUUAGUCUUACUUAUAUUGGAACACGAUUUUAGAAUAUGUUGCACUGGUAUACGUACAACUUUCUGAUUUAUAGCGGAAUAUCUGGGCUAAGAGAGUCAAUGCAUUGAUUGGAUCACAGUAAAAAAAAAAUUACUUAUUUAGCAAAAAAAAAAAAUUACUUUACAGUGAUCACUGUAAUUUGCUUGGAAGAUAAAUAAACGUCUAAAGUUUGAUACCUGAAAAGCAUAAACUUAGACAUAAUAAAAUUUGUCCAACAUUAAAAAUCUAAAAGUAAACUUACCAAGGAGUGAGUUUUUUUUAUAAUAGAAAGAUGAGCUAAUCUAUGUUAAACCAUACAUGACAACUAAAAUUUUAAUUUUAUAACAAAUGAUCUCUUCAUCAUUAUCAUGUUAAUAGAAAAUUUAUAUCACACCGUGGUGAUUACUCAAGAGGGUCGC
Molecule: long non-coding RNA, 768 nt
Filed under: Brassica rapa (field mustard)
Lineage: Eukaryota; Viridiplantae; Streptophyta; Magnoliopsida; Brassicales; Brassicaceae
Description: long non-coding RNA (BRAP_LNC005630)
Source: RNAcentral